GACGAACGCUGGCGGCGUGCUUAACACAUGCAAGUCGAACGGAAAGGCCCUGCUCUUGUGGGGUGCUCGAUUGGCGAACGGGUGAGUAACACGUGAGUAACCUGCCCUUGACUUUGGGAUAACUUCAGGAAACUGGGGCUAAUACCGGAUAGGAUCUCCUGCUGCACGGGGGGGGUUGGAAAGUUUCGGCGGUUGGGGAUGGACUCGAGGCUUAUCAGCUUGUUGGUGGGGUAGUGGCUUACCAAGGCUUUGACGGGUAGCCGGCCUGGGAGGUUGACCGGCCACAUUGGGACUGCGAUACGGCCCAGACUCCUACGGGAGGCAGCAGUGGGGAAUAUUGCACAAUGGGCGGAAGCCUGAUGCAGCAACGCCGCGUGCGGGAUGACGGCCUUCGGGUUGAGAACCGCUUUCGCCUGUGACGAAGCGUGAGUGACGGUAAUGGGUAAAGAAGCACCGGCUAACUACGUG
This 468-nucleotide ribosomal RNA is filed under the name uncultured bacterium. Its description in RNAcentral is "partial 16S ribosomal RNA". It matches the Rfam family "Bacterial small subunit ribosomal RNA", at positions 28 to 507 of the family's 1533-position model. The record is from RNAcentral.